This is a non-coding RNA of Equus caballus (horse), 1208 nucleotides long. The record is from RefSeq and is a predicted model, not a curated record. NCBI's taxonomy places the organism in Eukaryota, Metazoa, Chordata, Mammalia, Perissodactyla, Equidae.
UCAUUAACUAUAGUCACCAUGCUGUACGUUACAUCCCCAGGACUUAAUUAUUUUGUAAAUAAAAAUUUGUACUUUUAACCACCUUCACCUUUUCUGCCCACCCUCCACCCUCUGCCUCUGUCUCUGGUAAUCACCAAUCUAUUUUCUGUAUCGAUCAUAUGGUAUUUGUCUUUUUCUGUCUUAUUUCAUUUAACAUAAUAACCUCAAGAUCCAUCCACAUCGUUGCAAAUACAACAUUGUUUAUAUAGCAAUAUUUAGAGAAAAAUAUAAAUAUCCAACAAGGGAUCGAAUAUUUGGAAUAUUAUAUAUUAGUUAAAUGAUUGUAUAAAAAUAUAAUGCUGACAUUAAAAUAUGUUCCUGUACUAUCAUACAAUGUGAAUUAUAGGAUACAAAAUGAUAUUUAUAGGAUAUAUACAUAUAUGCUAUUAUACUGUCAGUGUAAAUUCAUGAGAUUAAAAUAUAAAACAUCAAAAAAUAAUUUUAGUGAUAAUUAUAAUGUAUACGUGUUAUGAUAGUCAGCUCUGUCAAGUUUCACAGGUCUCUUUCAUGAAGCUUCUCUUGAAACUAAAUAACAGAGGAGGACGAAAGAAGAUAAGAUAGAGUGAACAUGGUCAACACUCGAGCUUAAACAGAGGAGCAUGUGAUUAUUGAAUCCCAGUGCAUUUUAUUCACUGCUUGCAAUUAAUAAGCACUUGAUAAACAUAGUAACUUGGAUUAUUCAGAGGUGACAUAGGCACCCGCAUUCUGAAUUUAUUGAAUUCAAACACAGCAUAAGAGAUUUUUCUGUUAAACUCAGAGAACAUUCACUAAGAGGCAAAAAAAAUAAAUAAAUAAAGCCAUCAUUUUCUAAGCAUUCUUAAUUUGGAAAGGAAGUAUACAGAAGGCCUUCAACACACAAAGAUUUCAUUACUUGCGUUAAUUUCCAGAGUUAUAUGCAAGGCAAGAUUUCUGGACAGUGACAGAGCCAAGGCAAAAAUCUUGCUACAAUGGAAGAAAAUCCCCAAAUCAGAACUAUAGAAGCAUAUCAAUUGAAAUAUAUUCAACAGAUAAUUUAUAAAAUACUUCCAUUGUGGUGGCAUUGGGAUUAUAAAGGAAGACAAGAAUUUGCACUGAACUAAUUCAGAAGCAAGUGAGCAUGUGGACAUAUGGAAAAGGGAAACAGCUGGAUGUUACUUCAGUUUUGGAAAAGAAAAGAAAAGGUUUCAAAC